CCCUCCUACGAAGGUAUGUCGGUGGUUUUUUGUCCUUGGACACAUAAGAAUUGGAAGCAAAAAGAUGUGGACUUGGAGAAGUCUAGAACCCACUUGCUCCCCGCAGGCUCAAGAUCAUCCUUUCCCAUGCAG
This 132-nucleotide small nucleolar RNA is filed under the name Dasypus novemcinctus (nine-banded armadillo). RNAcentral's name for it is "Small nucleolar RNA SNORA38 (ENSDNOG00000032470.1)". It matches the Rfam family "Small nucleolar RNA SNORA38". Rfam says of the family: ACA38 is a member of the H/ACA class of snoRNA that guide the sites of modification of uridines to pseudouridines. Lineage: Eukaryota; Metazoa; Chordata; Mammalia; Cingulata; Dasypodidae. The record is from RNAcentral.